UAUCGAGUUAUUCUUGGGUGGAAAUUAUUUUUCAUCUCUACUUCUACUUCGUCAAUUUUUCGUCAAGUACUCCCACAGCAAUUUUCUUUUUGAGGGAAAAAUUCGAUACGGAGCAGGGAUACAAUGGACGAAUUCACCUAGCGGUUACAGCGACUGGGUAUUUUAUUAUACCAGGUUAAGAAGUGGCGUGGUUCAAACGUUUAAUAUCCAAGCUUUCGACGAAAAACUCUACCAUAUGUGGAGUAUUAUCAAAACGUACCCACGUCGUUUCAAGUGCAUGGCAGUCGUCCAGGUAAAAAGGACUCGUAGAGCCCUCCUACUACAUGGUCCUUACCUCGAUUCCCUCUGUGUAAACAUCAUACGCGUCACAGAUGUAACAUCGGUGCGCCGAAAAAUUCAUUUCGAAGUUCUCGAUCGAUACGAUUCCGGU
RNAcentral lists this unclassified non-coding RNA (430 nucleotides) under Athalia rosae (coleseed sawfly). Its description in RNAcentral is "misc RNA ENSAEAG00005001590.1". Lineage: Eukaryota; Metazoa; Arthropoda; Insecta; Hymenoptera; Athaliidae. The record is from RNAcentral.